Molecule: transfer RNA, 72 nt
Filed under: Camelus bactrianus (Bactrian camel)
Lineage: Eukaryota; Metazoa; Chordata; Mammalia; Artiodactyla; Camelidae
Also listed under: 2 other names
Rfam family: tRNA
About the family: Transfer RNA (tRNA) molecules are approximately 80 nucleotides in length. Their secondary structure includes four short double-helical elements and three loops (D, anti-codon, and T loops).
Source: Rfam by way of RNAcentral
GGAGGUAAAGCUCAGUGGUAGAGCACGUGCCUAGCACGCACGAGAUCCUGGGUUCAACCCCUAGUAUCUCCA